UGUAGUUUAGUGUCCAGGCACAGUAACUUUUGAUGUUACAAGUAUUAUUCUUUUAUUAAUUACAU
RNAcentral lists this transfer RNA (65 nucleotides) under Brachystomella parvula. RNAcentral's name for it is "tRNA-Gln". Lineage: Eukaryota; Metazoa; Arthropoda; Collembola; Poduromorpha; Brachystomellidae. The record is from RNAcentral.